GAUGAACGCUGGCGGCGUGCCUAAUACAUGCAAGUCGAGCGAACGGACGAGAAGCUUGCUUCUCUGAUGUUAGCGGCGGACGGGUGAGUAACACGUGGAUAACCUACCUAUAAGACUGGGAUAACUUCGGGAAACCUUAGCUAAUACCGGAUAAUAUUUUGAACCGCAUGGUUCAAAAGUGAAAGACGGUUUUGCUGUCCCUUAUAGAUGGAUCCUCGCUGCAUUAGCUAGUUGGUAAGGUAACGGCUUACCAAGGCAACGAUGCAUAGCCGACCUGAGAGGGUGAUCGGCCACACUGGAACUGAGACACGGUCCAGACUCCUACGGGAGGCAGCAGUAGGGAAUCUUCCGCAAUGGGCGAAAGCCUGACGGAGCAACGCCGCGUGAGUGAUGAAGGUCUUCGGAUCGUAAAACUCUGUUAUUAGGGAAGAACAUAUGUGUAAGUAACUGUGCACGUCUUGACGGUACCUAAUCAGAAAGCCACGGCUAACUACGUG
Molecule: ribosomal RNA, 497 nt
Filed under: uncultured bacterium
Lineage: Bacteria
Description: partial 16S ribosomal RNA
Rfam family: Bacterial small subunit ribosomal RNA
Source: RNAcentral